CUGGUUGAAAGAAUGAUAAAAUCACUGUUUAAUCCUCUGUAAAGUUUUGAUUAAUGGAUAAAGGAUUUAUGAGGCUAGUUGUAAGCUGCAGCCAAUCUGGUGUGCUUUGUUUGUCUUUCUGUUUGGUUCUGUUAUGAAGAGGAGUACCUUAGGAUGGACUGUGGGCCUAGUACUCUAUAAACCCACUGUUCAAGCCAGCCCAGCAAACUGGACACAAUUUGAGAAACUGGUUGUUUUGCCAAGGCUUUGACUGGAAGGACGUGCUUCUCUUUAAGGAAUCAAGCUUGACUUGCAGAGCCAAUAAAAGCCCCUUGGGAAAACUGGCCUCAUACCUUGUCUACACAGUUCGUGUACAGGGUUCUUAACCUGUGACUAACCCUGCUUGUACCUGUGAACCAACCAGCGAUCUCUGGCUGAAGCUCAGAAGAAACAAAUGGUAUGGGUAAUGUAAAAAUCUAGAUCAAUAUUUUAAUUCUGAGUGAUUAUCCUGCAAAUCCUGCCAGGUGAUGGGAGUGAAUGAGGAGCCUAUAACCUGGAGGUUUCUUUGUUUGGGAAAAUAAGACCAAGGGAGCUAACCAAAGCCAAGCCCCAUGCACCCAAAUCUUAGCAGGCAUAACUAUAGCCACCAGCUAUCUGGGUAUGCUGGCAGCCUUGGGAUUUUUGAGCUGUCCUUACCGCCUUCAGUUUGAUAUAUAUUUUCUAAUAACUCAAAUUGUUUAUUCUUGCUUAGAGUACUAAACUUCAAAUGGUGAGGCAAAUGGAACUGUGCAUGGAUGUGCCAUUCUUCCAGGUACUCUUUUUUUUUUUGAGACGGAGUCUCGCUCUGUUGCCCAGGCUGGAGGGCAGUGGCGUGAUCUCGGCUCACUGCAAGCUCCGCCUCCCAGGUUCACGCCAUUCUCCUGCCUCAGCCUCCCGAGUAGCUGGACUACAGGCGCCCGCCACCACGCCCGGCUAAUUUUUUGUAUUUUUAGUAGAGACGAGGUUUCACCGUGUUGGCUAGGAUGGUCUCGAUCUCCUCACCUCGUGAUCCGCCUGCCUCGGCCUCCCAAAGUGCUGGGAUUACAGGCGUGAGCCACCGUGCCCGGCCUCUUCCAGGUACUCUUAAAGCAACCUCAGGAGGAGCUCUAAUGGCUUUCUCCAAACAGCGCCCCCUGUCAGCAGGACACAGUUAAGAGUGGACAUCGUUCACUUUCCCCAACAGCAGUUGGGGUCUUCACUCCUGAAUGGGGGAAGGAAAGGAGUUAGCCAGCUUCCUUUAGACAGAAAGUAAGAGAAGGGUCCUCAAGGAACCUCCGACCUGCCCCACAAGUGUUUACACCAGAUGUUUUGUGCAGAUAAGGGAACUUGCACAGGGGGCUUGUUUAAACAUGCCCUCAGUGGAAAAUUCUGUUCCUUAACACAUACAUACACAGUUAGAGAAAUAAAUCAAUAUGGAGUGGCUCAGUCUAAGGGCUCACAUGUGCACUGGAAGGAUGGGGUGGAGCUGCCAGGAAUUCACUCACACCUUAAGCCCUAGCCCUGGUAUUCAACUGUGAAGGGGACAACUGGAAACCUGCUUUCAGGACCUCUCCCUUUGCUGAGAGCUUUCCUUUCGCUUAAUAAAUUCUACUCCAUUCACUCUUUGGUGUCCAUGUGCCUAAUUCUUCCCGGUCUUGAGGCAAUAACCUGGACCUAGCUGAGAUAAGGAGCAAAAAUCCUGCAACACUAUGACAUACAGAGGUAUCAAACUUGCACCUGUACCCUCUGAAUCUUAAAUAAAAGUUUAAAAAAUUUAAAAAUAAUAAAUUAAGUAAUUAAAUAUGCA
This 1804-nucleotide long non-coding RNA is filed under the name Homo sapiens (human). RNAcentral describes it as "HSALNT0097223". The record is from RNAcentral. Lineage: Eukaryota; Metazoa; Chordata; Mammalia; Primates; Hominidae.